CUCAAACUUCAAAAUAACGGCAGAAGUGGAUGGAGCCUCAUACUUCACAAGGGGGAAAUUGAAUGAGAUCAUAAUGGACAAAAGUAUAUCCUGUCUUGCAUACUUGAUCUUGAAAGGCUGUGUAGAGAAACUGUUGUCUGUAUCAUCAAUCUUCCAUACUCCAUAACUAUUACCAGAUCCCAGAUCCGGUGCUUCAUACUGAACAACUCUAGCUGGUGUUCCAACGGAAGUAUACUCGCUGUCUUCCCAUCUCAUGG
Molecule: unclassified non-coding RNA, 257 nt
Filed under: Hevea brasiliensis (rubber tree)
Lineage: Eukaryota; Viridiplantae; Streptophyta; Magnoliopsida; Malpighiales; Euphorbiaceae
Source: RNAcentral